This 381-nucleotide ribosomal RNA is filed under the name uncultured bacterium. RNAcentral describes it as "bacterial SSU rRNA". It matches the Rfam family "Bacterial small subunit ribosomal RNA", at positions 524 to 901 of the family's 1533-position model. The record is from RNAcentral.
UACGUAGGUGGCAAGCGUUAUCCGGAAUUAUUGGGCGUAAAGCGCGCGUAGGCGGUAAAAUAAGUCUGAUGUGAAAGCCCCCGGCUCAACCGGGGAGGGUCAUUGGAAACUGUUUUACUUGAGUACAGAAGAGGAGAGUGGAAUUCCAUGUGUAGCGGUGAAAUGCGCAGAGAUAUGGAGGAACACCAGUGGCGAAGGCGGCUCUCUGGUCUGUAACUGACGCUGAGGUGCGAAAGCGUGGGGAUCAAACAGGGAUUAGAUACCCUGGUAGUCCACGCCGUAAACGAUGAGUGCUAAGUGUUGGGGGGGUUUCCGCCCCUCAGUGCUGCAGCUAACGCAUUAAGCACUCCGCCUGGGGAGUACGACCGCAAGGUUGAAACU